RNAcentral lists this unclassified non-coding RNA (338 nucleotides) under soil metagenome. Its description in RNAcentral is "partial contains 5.8S ribosomal RNA, internal transcribed spacer 2, and large subunit ribosomal RNA". The stretch from base 1 to 120 matches the Rfam family "5.8S ribosomal RNA", at positions 35 to 154 of the family's 154-position model. The record is from RNAcentral.
GAUGAAGAACGUAGCGAAAUGCGAUAAGUAAUGUGAAUUGCAGAAUUCAGUGAAUCAUCGAAUCUUUGAACGCACAUUGCGCCCCCUGGUAUUCCGGGGGGCAUGCCUGUCCGAGCGUCAUUGCUGCCCUCAAGCACGGCUUGUGUGUUGGGCUCCGUCCCCCCGGGGACGGGCCCGAAAGGCAGCGGCGGCACCGAGUCCGGUCCUCGAGCGUAUGGGGCUUUGUCACCCGCUCUGUAGGCCCGGCCGGCGCCAGCCGACAACCCAUCAUCCUUUUCAGGUUGACCUCGGAUCAGGUAGGGAUACCCGCUGAACUUAAGCAUAUCAAAAGCGGAGGA